UACGGAGGGGGCUAGCGUUGUUCGGAAUUACUGGGCGUAAAGAGCUCGUAGGCGGCUUGUCACGUCGGGUGUGAAAGCCCGGGGCUUAACCCCGGGUCUGCAUUCGAUACGGGCUAGCUAGAGUGUGGUAGGGGAGAUCGGAAUUCCUGGUGUAGCGGUGAAAUGCGCAGAUAUCAGGAGGAACACCGGUGGCGAAGGCGGAUCUCUGGGCCAUUACUGACGCUGAGGAGCGAAAGCGUGGGGAGCGAACAGG
RNAcentral lists this ribosomal RNA (253 nucleotides) under uncultured bacterium. Its description in RNAcentral is "partial 16S ribosomal RNA". It matches the Rfam family "Bacterial small subunit ribosomal RNA", at positions 524 to 776 of the family's 1533-position model. The record is from RNAcentral.